GUUCAAAUCCUAUCUUUUCCAUUUAAUGACUAUGUGAUCUUAGACAAGUCUUUGUUUCCUCAUUUGUAAAAUGAGGGAAUUAGACUAGAGAAUUUCCAAGACCAAUUCAUCUUUCAUUCUAGUUCUUCCCUUUGGAGAACAAGGGAGAACUGGGACAGGGAGAGAGAUGAUCCAGAAUAACUCUUUACCCUCUUACUGUUAUCAAAGAAAAACAUGGACUGAUUUGAAAUUGAAUUUGAAAUUUUUCAAUUUGAAUUUUAAUUUCUGCUCACCAGAGGUAGAGAGAGUGGAUGGGGGAGUUCUAUUGAAAAGAGUGUUGAACUUGAAGUCAGGAAACCUGGGACCAAGACCCAGCUCUAUAAUUUAUUAGCUUUGUGUCUUUGGGCAAGUCACUUCUUUCUGAGCCAGAAGAUCCUGAAGGACCCUUUGGGGUCUAAUAUUCCAUGAUUCUUGGAAGUCAAGGAUCAUAUACUGAAAGAAAAAAAAUGGCUUUUUUACAGAGCUACUUAGGAACAGUUUUAGGAGUCAUCUGGUCCUUGAUAUAUUCUCAGUAACAUCAUGGUAUAUAGUAGAUAGAUUACAUAGGAAAACCUAGCUUUAAAUACUGCCUUAGACAUAUAAUAACUGUAGGACCCUAGAUAAGUCUCUUAACCUUUCUAGCCUCAUUUCUUCUUCUAUAAGGAAAGAAGGGUUAGACUUCAUUACCUCUAAGGUACCUUCUAGCUUAAAAUCUAUGAUGAAAGAAAAGGUCCAGACAGGAGGCUCUCUUCCCUCUCAACCCUUUCAGCUACCCCCUAUUACAACAUCCCUUCCCCUUAGGCACACUGUGCUUCUUUCUUCUAGCAUCUCCAGGCAAGAACUCCUUCUCCAAAUUGAGGAAGUGUUUUCCGGGGAGACAGAAAAUUCUGGAGCUACAACUUUCAGAUUCACCCAAGAUGACUUAGGAGCCAGCCAAACAUUUGUUAUCAGAUGGGUGGUUGAGAAGUACAUCAGACUACAAGAGCUUAGGUGAGUAUAUCUCUGAGACUUAGCCUCCAUUUGUUUCUCUGCCUUUGGGUUAUGUGAAAAUUUUGGUGUAGGUGAUUAGGAACCUUGGGGCAAGACCAAAUGUCCCUCCCUAAUGUCAUGUCAGAGAUGAGUGAUAUUGGCUGGGCUCAGGAAAGCCCAGAUGGUAUCUUUCCAUAACCCAAGGUAGAUAGGACAAUGAUAACUGACAACAGAGAAGAUUGAGCUACACAAAUCUCAUUUUGCUUCUAGGUUUCAUUUUGAGGGUUGGAUUUUGUUUUUGGUCUUUUGUUUUUGGGGUUUUUUUGCAUUGGCAAUGACAAAUAACUCACUGGAAGAUGAUAUCCCAAGUAAGUGAGGAGCUAGGAAGAUUCCACCUAGUUGACCUUGAUGACUUCAAGUUACCUGAUCCAGAUAAGUUAUAUUACAAUAUAAAUACAAAAUAUUUUCCAUACUUACUGGUGGGAAAGAAAAAGAGAAGUAGACCAGAUGGUAAAACAAUUAAGUUGAUUUGGAACUGGUUGAGGAGUCAAACUCAAAGUUCAAUGGUUGUUAAUGAUUCAGUGUCAGUUUGGCAAGAGUGGAGUGUCUCAGAGAUCUGUGUUUGACCCUGUUGUUGACUAAUCUUUAUCAUUGAUUUUGGAGAAAGAUAAAGAUGGCAUGGUGCUUUGAUUUGCAGAUGACACAAAGCUAUG
Molecule: long non-coding RNA, 1700 nt
Filed under: Monodelphis domestica (gray short-tailed opossum)
Lineage: Eukaryota; Metazoa; Chordata; Mammalia; Didelphimorphia; Didelphidae
Description: lncRNA (ENSMODG00000039036.1)
Source: RNAcentral